AUUGAACGCUGGCGGCAGGCCUAACACAUGCAAGUCGAGCGGAGCGGCAGACGGGUGAGUAAUGACUAGGUAUCUGCCUGGUCGUGAGGGAUGAGGUUCGAAAACGGGCACUACUGCCACAUACUCUCUGCUGAGCCUUGGUCGGAGUAGGUAGUUGGUGGGGUAGAGGCCUCACAAGACGACGAUCCGUAACUGGUCUGAGAGGAUGAUCAGUCACACUGGAACUGAGACACGGUCCAGACUCCUACGGGAGGCAGCAGUGGGGAAUAUUGGACAAUGGGCGAAAGCCUGAUCCAGCCAUGCCGCGUGUUUGAAGAAGGUUUUCGGAUUGUAAAGUACUUUAAGUUGGGAGGCGUUACCAGCAGAAUAAGCACCGGCUAACUUCGUGCCAGCAGCCGCGGUAAUAC
This 407-nucleotide ribosomal RNA is filed under the name uncultured bacterium. RNAcentral describes it as "partial 16S ribosomal RNA". It matches the Rfam family "Bacterial small subunit ribosomal RNA", at positions 30 to 526 of the family's 1533-position model. The record is from RNAcentral.